Molecule: ribosomal RNA, 494 nt
Filed under: uncultured bacterium
Lineage: Bacteria
Description: partial 16S ribosomal RNA
Rfam family: Bacterial small subunit ribosomal RNA
Source: RNAcentral
GACGAACGCUGGCGGCGCGCUUAACACAUGCAAGUCGAACGGAAAGGCCUGCUUUCCCUUGUGGAUUGCGGGUACUCGAGUGGCGAACGGGUGAGUAACACGUGAGUGAUCUGCCCCCAACUUGGGUAUAAGCCUGGGAAACUGGGUCUAAUUCCCGUUAGGACUGCAGGGUGGUGCCUGUGGUGGCAAACGAUUUUCUAGUGGUUGGGGAUGAGCUGGCGGCGUAUCAGCUUGUUGGCGGGGUAAUGGCCUACCAAGGCGGAGACGGGUAGCCGGCCUGAGAGGGUGGACGGCCGAAUUGAGACUGGGUUACGGCCCAGACGCCUGCGGGAGGCAGCAGUGGGGAAUAAUGCAGCAUGAGCGGAAGCCUGAUGCAGCGACGCAGUGUGGGGGAUGACGGCAUUCGGGUUGUAAGCUCCUUUCGACCGAGAGGAAGCCACCUGGUUGGGAGGGUGGUGACGGUAGUGGUAGAAGAAGCACCGGCUAACUACGUG